This 466-nucleotide ribosomal RNA is filed under the name uncultured bacterium. RNAcentral's name for it is "partial 16S ribosomal RNA". It matches the Rfam family "Bacterial small subunit ribosomal RNA", at positions 28 to 507 of the family's 1533-position model. The record is from RNAcentral.
GACGAACGCUGGCGGCGCGCCUAACACAUGCAAGUCGAACGAGCGAGAGAGAGCUUGCUUUCUCGAGCGAGUGGCGAACGGGUGAGUAACGCGUGAGGAACCUGCCUCAAAGAGGGGGACAACAGUUGGAAACGACUGCUAAUACCGCAUAAGCCCACGGCUCGGCAUCGAGCAGGGGGAAAAGGAGCAAUCCGCUUUGAGAUGGCCUCGCGUCCGAUUAGCUAGUUGGUGGGGUAACGGCCCACCAAGGCGACGAUCGGUAGCCGGACUGAGAGGUUGAACGGCCACAUUGGGACUGAGACACGGCCCAGACUCCUACGGGAGGCAGCAGUGGGGAAUAUUGCACAAUGGGGGAAACCCUGAUGCAGCGACGCCGCGUGGAGGAAGAAGGUCUUCGGAUUGUAAACUCCUGUUGUUGGGGAAGAUAAUGACGUUACCCAACAAGGAAGUGACGGCUAACUACGUG